UUUAUUCUUUUGGUUCUUCAGCAUAUACAGACACACACAAAAUCAGAAAAAAGAAAGAGAACAGAAGAGAGCCAAACAACCCUUGUUCGUCCUCUUCAAUCAGACACUCCAACUGGCAAUGGUAAUUUUGUUGAUUUUCUUUCUUUUUCCAGUACGAAUCCAACCAAUUUACAGCUAUUAUUGUCUUUUGAUUUUGAAUUUCAACCAAAUCAACAGAGGGGGAAUCCCACAUCGGUUUUGGGCAUUAGUUUGAGCAUUUUUCUGUUCUAUAAAUAGAGCUCACUUAUCUUUGAGCAAGAGAAGAAGAAAAAUGGCUUUGAGACCAAAAAAUUGGUUCUUAUACCAUUAAAUGGGUUUUUUUCAUAAGCCUAUGAGUAAGAACACUUAGAAACCCAGCGAAGCUGCGAGUUUCGAGGACGUUCUCACUCAAGUAUAAUUUUUGGAAAUCAUUUCCAUUCCUUGGAAAUCGAUUCGAUGUGAAAGGUGUUCAUUGACGCUCGUCGCCCCCGUCACUGCUCAGCAAAAAGGUAAUCCUCAAUCCUUUUUAUUUCAUCUUAUUUUAGUCCUUAAUUCUGCCUGUUAUAUGAAUGUUUUGGUACUUAGUGCUAGUUAAUAUAUGAUUGGUCUAGUUUAGCUGUAAUCAUAUAGUGUCGAUUCUGUUUUAGCUUAAACAAUGGGCUUGGUAUACUGUUAGCAUGGUACGUUAGUUUAGUUCAAUUCCCUUUAGUAAAAGUGAAGUUAGUUAUAGAUUUUUUUUUUAGUUCAAGGGUUAUUUAUGUGGUAUAACUGCAUAAGUGCUUGUUACUAACUCUGUGGGAUGUUUAUAAGCUUGGUUUGGUUUGAAUCAGUAGCGUAGUAAAUUUUAGCUUAAUAGGUGUUGUUUGCAUUACUCUGCUUUAGGUUCAUUCUUGCCUAAGAUCAAGAUGAUUUAACUAAGUAUGAGUUAGUGGUCUAGAGAUCAUUCAAGUUUUGAUAACAAUGUGUGAUUAAAGACUAUGGUUCAAUGUGCCUGAGCAUCUAAAUGUCCAUCUAGGGGUCAGCUAAACUUAUGAAGAACUACAUCCAAUUUAUGGGUUUGCUUCAGUUUUGAAUGUUUAGUUUUCAUUUUUAAGAAAAUGCACUCUGCCUAGUUUAAGAUUAUUGUAGCUAAAAAAAUUUAUGGUUCAUGCCUAAGAUGUGUGUUUCUCAGAAUGUUUCACUUGAAGAUUAACCAUUAAAUACUCUUUAAAAAAAAAUUGAAUUUCAUGACUAGAAAGUCCUAAAUGCUUAUGUCCUUGUACCUGUUUGUGUAUGAAGAGCAAGUUAUGAUUGGUGACCCUUCCCUGUACUUUUUUUUAGUUGAGUUAAAAAAUGAUGUUUUUCUUGAAGCUUGCAUGACCACUUUGGUUUCCAACCCCAAAUCUCUGAAUCAUGCUCUACCUCUUUAAAAUGGUUCUUCUUCUUUUUCACUUCUUCUUUGCUGAUCAGCGGAGAACACUUCCAUAAGGGAAUAAGAUCUUUGUAAUUAAUGGGGUUCAAAUAAAAAAAAAAUGUGUUUGAUGUCCCUUAUUUGAUUCGGAAGUAAUAAGAUCGGAUCCGUUUGUGUUCAAAUCCCUUUAUGUGACUCAUUAAAAUGUACACUAGAUACCAUGACUAUAGGGAGCUUGCAUCUCUUUUCAUAUAAAAUCACAAAUUAGGAAAAUGAGUUGAAGCAUAUGGGAUUCAGUGAUCUCUUUUCUUUCAUGUUUUGUUCUUGAGAACAACUCUUAAGAUUGAGUGACUAGCUAUUUAUUUGACCACUGGAAAAGGAUAUGUAUCUUGUUAAGGUGUAAUAUGUUCUUUUUCAUCUUUAAUAAUGUAGAAAACAUGUUGUUAAGCUCCAUUCACAUUUUCUCGCUAGAAGUUCAGGUAGGUCACAUAUAAUCAUGCCAUGGCCUUGUCUACUUGCCUAUACGAUACAUGUCUUAAUUUCUAUAAUGUGAGUCUAACAUCCCUAAUGACCAUGUUAUGCCUCUUACUUAUGCAGACCUAAGCCCUUUCAAAUGACUUACCUACAUUUAUGCCUAAAUUUGAAUGAACUUUGAACUUUUGGUUACUUAGGAAAUAAUUAUGGAACUGCAUUACAAUAUCAAGUGGGGAAUACUAUUUUUUUUUCUUUCCAAAUAUAUGUAUGUCUAUAUUGAAACUGUGGGCUAAGAUGAAUUACUCAAACUAAAAUUUAAUCAGAUAAGGCCUAGAACUGAGCUGUUGUGUUGUGUUCUUGGACUGAAUUUUGCUUAUGGGAAGUGAAUCAUUUUGGACAAUGUUUGUGCUAACUUAGGUGCUAAUAGUAUACUUUGAACCAAAAUGCAUUUGAUUUUUUGUAAAGAAAGAACUUGGUUUAAACCCUGAGCUAUGUUCAAUAAUUCUGUGUUAAGUGCAAAUAAGUAUCUUUUUUGAAAUUAUAUGAUUCGUAACUGUUGUCAUACUUGUAAAUUAGUUUGAGGGUAAUCCUAUGUGCAUGUUGUGUAAUGGCGUGACCUUGGCCCUGUAUGCCCUUUCAAUUCUAUCUUGUUGACUUUGAUUAAAUCUGGGGAGUAAUUGGGUUGUUGUCUAAGUUGCUUAGGAUUGAUAGCAUGUGUUUGUUUUGUUUGGAUUGCUUUGGUAAGUAUUUGUUCCAACAGUAGAUGUGGCAUUGUCACACUUGAUAUUUGGUUCAGUCCUCUUCUUGUUUGUUGGUAUUGUGUUCUGGUUUCUGAAUCCCUUAUCUGAUAUGUAUGUGCAGCAUCCUGUAUCCUAUGAUCUCUAGUUAUAUCAUUGAGUUUUUGACCAACUGAAUACAAUUAACUUCUACUACUUAAUACAUAAAUUAUUUCUCAUGAUAAAGGUCGAAAUGGUACUAGUCUUACUGAACUUUUAAAACAAAACCUCUUGUAAAACUGUCUGAAAUCUUAGCUCACAUGCUUCAUAACUCUCUUGUUCCUUUACUGUCCUCCAUGAGUUUGAGUAUUGAACUGGUUUUCAAGUGAUGGAUAAGGCUCUAAAAAUGAGUUUCCAUUUUUUCCUACUUCCUGUGUGUUCCCUGAAGUUAUUCAGGAUGUAUUUUGAACCCUUUUGAUAAGUGAAGACCUGGGAGAAUUAGUUCACUAUCUGUUAGCUUUUUUCUAUUUUAGUUUCUCUUGUUUGAAUUAGUUUUUGGUCAGCCAAGAGUUAGUUGAACAUUUGUGGCGCUAUGAACUGAUGAAAUCUUCUUUAAACUGAGUCUGAGAUUUGAAGGGACCAACAUCAUCCUUUUUCCUGGAAGUAUUUGUCUACAAGAACUGUUUUCGUAUAUAUAUCUCUAAAUUGUUCAAGUUUUGAAAUAGAGUUCAGCACAUUUAGAACCUCCCUUUAAGUAAUUUCAUUACUUGAAUCUUUAUCCUCAUGUUGUAUGCUGGCUGGAAGUCAAGGCAAAUAGAGGGUGUGGUUUAACCCCCUCCAAUAACCUGCCAUGCCGAGGUUCUAAAACCUUUGGAUCUUGGGCGGCAUUGGAACAAUGAGGGUGGUAGCCCCCCUUUGACUACCUUGUCUUUCAAGCUUAAUGUUUGGUCCAAUGUUCAUAAAUAACCUCAUGUUUACUGUUUUUUCUUAGAAAUGUUCGUUUGUCUUCUGCCUUUGCCUACUGAUAGUUGCUUUAAGUGACCACUAUUAAUAUCCUGUUUAAGAUGAUUAAUUUGUGGAGAGUGAGAAAUCCUUGGUACUUAUUCUUCACUUCUCCUCUUCUUUGCAUGACUUGGGGAAAUUUCCAAUCCCCAAAUGUUGCCUGAGUUGUUGUUGAACCUGGAAAACUUGCUACAUUUGGGAAGCUCUCAAAGUGUCAUAUUUGAAUAAGUUACUGCCGCUACAUUUGGCCAUAUUGAGCAGCUGUUGUUCCAUUGUGUAUCACUGUAUUUUUGGUAAGUUUAUUGCUAUAUUCUAAGGCAAGAUAGUGGUUGCACUUGAGCUCUUAGUUUGAGCCAUGAACCAUUGCAAUCCUGGCCAUUUUGUUGCCAUACUCUGAUAUAUAUUGUUGCUGCAUUUGGCCUAUUGUUGCUUCAUUAUUGAUGCUGCAUUUGGCCAUAAAUAGUUGCCUAUUUGCACGGCCACUGCUACUGAAUAUUUCUGCUGCAUUUUUUUUUUUGGCCAUUAUGAUUGCCAUAUAGGGCUUUCGGAAGGGCUGCACUUUGGCUAUUGUAUUAGCUGGUUAUUCUUAUGAUUUUGAGCCAAGUUUUGGGUAGCUUUGAGGCUCAUUAGCUGCUGCUAUUUGGGCUGGUUGAUCUCUUUGUUUUGAGACAAUUGCUGGGGCAUUUUUUGCUCAGUUGGAGGCCAUUGUUGCAUUUUUGCUCGAAGUUUUGAGGCCAUUGCUGGUGCAUUUUGCUCAGUUUAGAGGCCAUUGCUCUGCUUUGCUUAGCCUACUGCUGCUGCAUCUUUGGCUUUGGCAUUUGUUGUCUUGAAGCGUUCUAGAGCAACUUCUUGCUAGUACUUUUGGUAUCUUCUUUGAAAAAAUUGAACAAACUGCGACCUUUGGUGAAAAAUCCAACUGAUUUGAACUUGAUAACUACGUUUGAGCCGAUGAAGAGUUGUUUAACUUGAGGCCUCACUUUUAAAAGAACGGAUUUCUGUACUUGAUUGAAAGUUUACUGAUUUGAAUACUUAACUUGAGAAUGCCUAGUCCGGAAAGGUUCUAUCUCUCGGUGGGCAAUGAUGAUCAUAGUCUAGUUAUAAAAUAGUAACCAACAUGCGCUUGUCGAGGCAAUAGAAUGACUGACGGGUCGCUAUUUCGCAGCCAUGACAUGUUCAGGGGCCCUUUUUCCCAUAUUUGAAAGAAGUAUGAUUCAGAGCCUUUACUAAUCAAAGCUCCUAUAGUUUGGUGCGAAACCGAGGGAUAUUAUAUUCAUAAACGUCACCCCGUGGGGUGGUGUAUCCUUUUUACUAAUCAUUCUUGUUUCUAUUCUUGCGAGGUACGAAUAAACAAGUUCGGGGAAUACUACAAGGAUGAAUAUUGCACAAUUGGAGCAUACAUAUGGAAUCGAAGCAAUAUGGAAUGACAAGAAGAGAAGUAGUAGGAGACAAGGCAAAGACUUGGACAUUUGGGGCUUUCAGACGAAGAAUAAAGGAAGCACAGAAUUGCAACAAAAGGUCCAAGAAGGAGAGGAGAUAGGCUUAUCCGAUUAACCUUUCUCCGCCUUCAUUCUUUCCCUCCCUUUAGUUAUUUUGAAAAUAUUCUGUUUACUUACUUUAUUUAAGUAUUGUUGGAACCUUUAUAGAUUAGAACUUAAGAUUUAGAGUUGUGAAAACUGAUUUUCAAAGCCAUGUAUAAAACAGAUGUGAAAUACGAAUUACUCUUAAUAUAAGCUCGAUUUUCCUAA
This is a long non-coding RNA of Lycium ferocissimum, 5345 nucleotides long. RefSeq lists it as uncharacterized. The record is from RefSeq and is a predicted model, not a curated record. Lineage: Eukaryota; Viridiplantae; Streptophyta; Magnoliopsida; Solanales; Solanaceae. The transcript has 2 exons.